CUAUUCAGCGGCGGACGGGUGAGUAAUGCCUAGGAAUCUGCCUGGUAGUGGGGGACAACGUCGAAAGGAACGCUAAUACCGCAUACGUCUACGGGAGAAAGCAGGGGACCUUCGGGCCGCGCUAUCAGAUGAGCCUAGGUCGGAUUAGCUAGUUGGUGAGGUAAUGGCUCACCAAGGACGAUCCGCAACUGGUCUGAGAGGAUGAUCAGUCACACUGGAACUGAGACACGGUCCACUCCUACGGGAGGCAGCAGUGGGGAAUAUUGGACAAUGGGCGAAAGCCUGAUCCAGCUGCCGCGUGUGUGAAGAAGGUCUUCGGAUUGUAAAGCACUUUAAGUUGGGAGGAAGGGGUAAAUUAAUACUUUGCUGUUUUGACGUUACCGACAGAAUAAGCACCGGCUAACUCUGCCAGCAGCCGCGGUAAUACAGAGGGUGCAAGCGUUAAUCGGAAUUACUGGGCGUAAAGCGCGUAGGUGGUUUGUUAAGUUGGAUGUGAAAUCCCCGGGCUCAACCUGGGAACUGCACAAAACUGGCAAGCUAGAGUAUGGUAGAGGGUGGUGGAAUUUCCUGUGUAGCGGUGAAGCGUAGAUAUAGGAAGGAACACCAGUGGCGAAGGCGACCACCUGGACUGAUACUGACAGAGGUGCGAAAGCGUGGGGAGCAAACAGGAUUAGAUACCCUGGUAGUCCACGCCGUAAGAUGUCAACUAGCCGUUGGGAGCCUUGAGCUCUUAGUGGCGCAGCUAACGCAUAAGUG
Molecule: ribosomal RNA, 756 nt
Filed under: uncultured bacterium
Lineage: Bacteria
Description: bacterial SSU rRNA
Rfam family: Bacterial small subunit ribosomal RNA
Source: RNAcentral